Molecule: non-coding RNA, 320 nt
Organism: Pan troglodytes (chimpanzee)
Lineage: Eukaryota; Metazoa; Chordata; Mammalia; Primates; Hominidae
Source: Rfam
GCCAGGUGUGGUGGUGGGCGCCUGUAGUCCCAGCUACUCGGGAGGCUGAGGCAGGAGAGUGGCCUGAACCCAGGAGGUGGAGCUUGCAGUGAGCUGAGAUCAGGCCACUACACUCCAGCCUGGGUAACAGAGCAAGACUGUCUCAAAAAAAAAAAAAAGUAAUAAUAAAUAAAAAUAAAAAAUACUGAGUAGUUCACUAUUUUUUAUUUUUUAUUUUUUGAGACGGAGUUUCGCUCUGUCGCCCAGGCUGGAGUGCAGUGGCGUGAUCUCGGCUCACUGCAAGCUCCACCUCCUGGGUUCACGCCAUUCUCCUGCCUCAG